CUUUGACUAAGGUUCGAUUCGAGCGCAGCGAGAAAGCGUUGCCGCAGGCAACGACCCGAAGGGUGAGGAGCGGAGCGACGAAUAAUCCUUCCCCCACCACCA
RNAcentral lists this small RNA (102 nucleotides) under Salmonella enterica. RNAcentral describes it as "partial RtT sRNA". It matches the Rfam family "RtT RNA", at positions 30 to 130 of the family's 130-position model. Rfam says of the family: This family represents a bacterial cis-regulatory element known as RtT RNA. The exact function of RtT is unknown although it is thought that it may be involved in changing the cellular response in relation to amino acid starvation. Lineage: Bacteria; Pseudomonadati; Pseudomonadota; Gammaproteobacteria; Enterobacterales; Enterobacteriaceae. The record is from RNAcentral.